Long non-coding RNA from Asterias rubens (European starfish), 217 nucleotides. RefSeq lists it as uncharacterized. The transcript is spliced from 3 exons. The record is from RefSeq and is a predicted model, not a curated record. NCBI's taxonomy places the organism in Eukaryota, Metazoa, Echinodermata, Asteroidea, Forcipulatida, Asteriidae.
AGAGUCAAAGAUGAUCAACAGACUGACCUUCAAACAAGAGAGAUCACAAACCUGGAAGAAAAUGUCAGUUAUUCAUUCCAGAUACGUGCUGAAACACAUUUUGGACUUGGAGGAUGGAGCAACGUCUCAUUAUCUUUAACACUGCCACACAGGAACGCAUUAACUCAGACGCCUAUCACUAGACUGAGCAGUUUUCUGAUUAUCGUUAUCUGUGUGG